UGUGCGUGGAUUUCAGUAUGAGCAGAGCAGCAAACGCAUACUAGUACUCUGGGUUUGGUGCCAUUAUUCUGAAUUUGGCGAGGACAUUUAUGGAUUGCAUGUGUGAGGUGGAUCGGGUUUGAUCACGUUUUGGGACACGUGCAAGGACUGGCCUCUACCGUAUUUAAUUUCAUUCUAGUGCAAUUCAGAGAGACUGAAUCUUCCGAUAUCUGAACACUGAAUUUGUAUGAAGGUUGUGACCCUUCCUGUACUGAAUUUAUCAGAUUUUGAAAUCGGUGCUUAAUCUCUUGUUUUGUCAAAUAAGCACAACAGAGACGUAACAUUUACAUUAUUUUAUUAAUUAUUUUUUUAUCUGUUAUUUACUCCCAUCGAUCGCUGUCCUUCUGAGAGACAGCCGUCAGAAUAAAGCCCCUAGAAGAUAUUUUGUGUAUCCUGUGCUGCUUCUUUAGAAUCCAUAGGCCACAUUUUGGUACCAGGAGUGGGGUAUCUGACUGUAGGGAGCCUAUAGGUUAUUUUUUUAUUCAUUUUGAAAUACGGUAGAGGUGAAGAUAGGUGCCAGUGGAAAACGGAGUGGAGGCUAACUUCCUGGGUGCAGUUGUCCAGCGAACAGACGUCGGCCGGCUGGAGAUGACCUGGUGAGGUGACGAUACUGCUAGGUGAAAGGAAGAAGAGAGUGCCUUAUCCACUGAGGUCUGCAGCAUGCUUUCUGAGGAGACACCUAUCAAGAGACUGUCUGAAAGGGAAGACAGAAGUAUUCUAUGAACAGUUGAGAACAUAUCCUUUGACUUUAAAACGAUUUCGAACUGAUUCAGAGACUAUUUUUGACCAAAACAACUGUUUUCAUUUUGUUAAACUGAAGAAAAUUUUAUAAAAUGUCACAAUCAGAUGAGGCUCAGGUUUUAC
Molecule: long non-coding RNA, 903 nt
Organism: Sinocyclocheilus anshuiensis
Lineage: Eukaryota; Metazoa; Chordata; Actinopteri; Cypriniformes; Cyprinidae
Exons: 3
Source: RefSeq, a predicted model, not a curated record